UCUGUUUAUUUUCGUUUUCCAUAUAAUUUACUGCAACGGUUAGGUUAGACUAUUAUAAAACUUAAAAACACAUUUAAAUGGAUAACUACUUUUUAUUUUGUUACAAUGUGUAUGGUUGCUGCAUAGUUUGUCAUGACGAUUUGAUCAACGCUGGUUUCACAUUUAAAACAUUUCAAGAAAAUUAUGACGUUUUGUCAAAAAUCAGUAAGUUAUAAAAGAAAGUUAAUAUUCUAU
Long non-coding RNA from Aphis gossypii (cotton aphid), 234 nucleotides. RefSeq lists it as uncharacterized. The transcript has 3 exons. NCBI's taxonomy places the organism in Eukaryota, Metazoa, Arthropoda, Insecta, Hemiptera, Aphididae. The record is from RefSeq and is a predicted model, not a curated record.